Molecule: long non-coding RNA, 1147 nt
Organism: Gossypium raimondii (Peruvian cotton)
Lineage: Eukaryota; Viridiplantae; Streptophyta; Magnoliopsida; Malvales; Malvaceae
Exons: 2
Source: RefSeq, a predicted model, not a curated record
CGUCUUCCCCUUUUUCAACAGAAAUUACCUCCAGUGAAUUCAAAGCUUCAAAUUUAGACCCUUCCAAUCUUGUAGCCGUGAUUUUCACCUUUUGAGAUCGAGCGUCAGCCUGAUUCCACUUGGAUUUACGCUCAACGAUCAUCCAUGGCCCGAAUUAUUGCCCCGUCACUGUCGAAUUAAAUUUCUUGGCCAAUGACUUGGAGACUCUUCCUUUAUUAGCGUCUAUAUUCUGAUCUACUAAUGUAAAUGGACAAAGACCUUUCAAAUGACCAUAACGGCCACAGGUGAAGCAAACGGCUAGUAAAGCUUCAAACUCAACUCUCUGAACUUUCCCAUUAACCAAAAUUUGAGAGAGCAACCCCGGUAACCUAGGAAAGUGGAUCCAAGCCAGAACCGUGCUUGGGAAGGGUUUCAGAGGAUUAAAAUCCAUUGAUCAUGGUUGAACGAUAAGGUAAUGGCCGAACACAAGCCAUGGAGCUUGCGUCAAAACCAUUUCAUAAUUUGUUUUGUUUUGAAAUCUUACUAGAUAGUAUCUGUUCUCUACAUCCAUGAGGUGGAACAGUUCGGUAGGUUUUCAGAGACUGAAAAUCUGAUUCAAAAGGACUCCGUACCCUAUGUUGCACCCCAGCAAUUUAACCAUAACUGUCGAGUCCAUGUCCUUAACCAGUAGCUUCUGAAUUUGUUCAGAGAAGUCAAUGGUCGGGAUUUCGUUGACAGUAGAUCUUGAGAUAUCACCAUCUUCAGAAUCAAAUUCCUCAUCAGUACAACCUUCCAGAGUCAUAGGAGAAGCAAAAGAACCAACGGCUCUCCCUUCCAACAACUUGUCCUUCCAAGAGGUUCUAGGCACUGGGACAGAAUCAACCACCAUAUUUUCCUCAAGGUCAUCACCUAUUUCUUUGAAUCUGACCUUAUUUGUGUUACAAUCCUCAUUGAUUCCAUCUCCAUCUCCUUCACGAUCAUCGAUUGAGAUUACAAUAUCAGACAUAAUCCAGAGAGCAAGAGAACCUUAAGAUAUAAUAUUAUUGUUCUUCGUAUUGAAAGCAUGAGGUAUCACUUGUUUCAAUUUAGAUUUUGAAAAUAAGUGUAAUAUGUAUUCUUAUACUUUAAAUUUAGUUUGAUUUUAUGUUAUUAAUUAUGAUUUUGUGUU